This 442-nucleotide ribosomal RNA is filed under the name uncultured bacterium. Its description in RNAcentral is "partial 16S ribosomal RNA". It matches the Rfam family "Bacterial small subunit ribosomal RNA", at positions 338 to 795 of the family's 1533-position model. The record is from RNAcentral.
CCUACGGGUGGCAGCAGUGGGGAAUAUUGGGCAAUGGGCGCAAGCCUGACCCAGCAACGCCGCGUGAAGGAAGAAGGCUUUCGGGUUGUAAACUUCUUUUAAUAGGGAAGAGAAGAAGACGGUACCUCUUGAAUAAGCCACGGCUAACUACGUGCCAGCAGCCGCGGUAAUACGUAGGUCGCAAGCGUUGUGCGGAUUUACUGGGUGUAAAGGGCGUGCAGGCGGGAUGACAAGUCAGAUGUGAAAUCCCGCGGCUAAACCAUGGAACUGCAUUUGAAACUGUUUUUCUUGAGUAUCGGAGAGGUAAUCGGAAUUCUUGGUGUAGCGGUGAAAUGCGUAGAGAUAAAGAAGAACACUAGUGGCGAAGGCGGAUGACUGGACGAUAACUGACGGUGAGGCGCGAAAGCGUGGGGAGCAAACAGGAUUAGAUACCCGGGUAGUC